Long non-coding RNA from Solanum pennellii, 614 nucleotides. RefSeq lists it as uncharacterized. The transcript has 5 exons. The record is from RefSeq and is a predicted model, not a curated record. Lineage: Eukaryota; Viridiplantae; Streptophyta; Magnoliopsida; Solanales; Solanaceae.
ACUUUCUACAUUCCUUGUCUCCUCCUCCAUCUCCACAAAUUAACAUUGCCCUGGUUUUCCAUUUCUUUAGGUUGUGGGUGAAUCACACCUACCUCCGAUAUCUUCUAUUCUUUCUCCGCUCACAGAAAGGUAUCUUUUAGUGGAUGUAGUGGUUUCGAAGAUAAUUUUGAAUGAGGUACCAAGUCAUGAGGGUUAUUGAAGACAUCCUUUAUUCUGAGCUAGGAAUAGGUAGUUGGUGGUCUUCGUUGCUAGCAGAGUACUCGAAUUUUUGAGACACAGGUAACCAGGAUCAGCACGCGAUGCUUCGUUGAUCCAUUUUAAUCAUCCAGAGUCAAUGGUCCAGUCGUUGAAGGGAUUUUAGAGAAGACUUGAAGAAGACUUGGAUCACUUAAUCAUCCAAGUAAGGUAGGUCCUCACUUUUCGAGGGCGAUGCCACUAUCAAGCCUAUGAUAUUGCUUUAGUGUUCAAGACUCUUAUGUUUCUUUCCUUUUCAUUUGGAUAUUAAAUGUUGUAUGAACUAUAUGUGGUGUAUGGGCUAGUCCUAAUUUGAUAUACUCGUAUUAGAUGGAUAUGAGACAGGACGACUAUUUUGAGACUAUGUUAUAUUCUAUAUA